RNAcentral lists this ribosomal RNA (238 nucleotides) under Lipophrys pholis (shanny). RNAcentral describes it as "partial 12S ribosomal RNA". Lineage: Eukaryota; Metazoa; Chordata; Actinopteri; Blenniiformes; Blenniidae. The record is from RNAcentral.
UUGGCGGUGCUUAAUAACCCCCUAGAGGAGCCUGUUCUAGAACCGAUACCCCUCGUUAAACCUCACCCUUUCUAGCUUAUUCCGCCUGUAUACCGCCGUCGCCAGCUUACCCUGUGAAGGUUUCAUAGUAAGCAUAAUUAGUAAAACCCAAAACGUCAGGUCGAGGUGCAGCACACGAAAGGGAAAGAAAUGGGCUACAUUACCUGUUUACAGGUUAAUACGAAAAGUGUACUGAAAA